AUAAAUAAGAAUUAUUAAUUUAUUAUAGAUAUAUUCUAUAUCUUUUUUUAGAAUGACAUCAGGUACUGCGAAACACUUUUUGUUGAAAAUAAUAUUUUAAAGAGGCAAUUGCAAGAAUUGCAGCAGCAGCUGGCUAUGGCGAAACAACCACAGCCCGCAGUGGUGGCUGCUGAGAAUACACAGCCUGCAAUGGUGGCUGCUGAGAAUACACAGCCUGCAACGGUGGUAGCUAUUGACGACCCACAGCCUGCAAUGACACCGUCAGAGAAUAUAGAAAAAAAUACAUUCCAAUUAAAACAGAAAGCUCGAUGGGCAAGAGCCGGAAGAGGUCGAGAACGCGGACGCGGCCGUGGACGCGGGCGUGGACGCGGCCGUGGCCGCGGACGCGAAAGCAGAAUUAUAAAUUAUAUUACCAUGUAAUAUCUAACAUUUCUUCUUCUUAAAUAAAUUAUUUUUUGCAAAAA
Long non-coding RNA from Nylanderia fulva, 464 nucleotides. RefSeq lists it as uncharacterized. Lineage: Eukaryota; Metazoa; Arthropoda; Insecta; Hymenoptera; Formicidae. The record is from RefSeq and is a predicted model, not a curated record.